RNAcentral lists this ribosomal RNA (399 nucleotides) under uncultured bacterium. RNAcentral's name for it is "partial 16S ribosomal RNA". It matches the Rfam family "Bacterial small subunit ribosomal RNA", at positions 360 to 776 of the family's 1533-position model. The record is from RNAcentral.
AAUAUUGCACAAUGGGCGAAAGCCUGAUGCAGCAACGCCGCGUGUGUGAUGAAGGCCUUCGGGUCGUAAAGCUCUUUGAUCAGGGAUGAUAAUGAUAGUACAUGAAAAACAAUCUACGGCUAACUACGUGCCAGGAGCCGCGGUAAGACGUAGGUGGCGAGCGUUGUCCGGAAUUAGUGUGCGUAAAGGAUGCAUAGGUGGAAACUUAAGUGGGAUGUGAAAUCCCCGGGCUCAACCCGGGAACUGCAUUCCAAACUGGGUAUCUAGAGUGCAGAAGAGGAAAGAGGAAUUCCUAGUGUAGCGGUGAAAUGCGUAGAUAUUAGGAGGAACACCAGUGGCGAAGGCGGCUUUCUGGACUGUAACUGACACUGAGGCAUGAAAGCGUGGGUAGCAAACAGG